RNAcentral lists this non-coding RNA (31 nucleotides) under Mus musculus (house mouse). Lineage: Eukaryota; Metazoa; Chordata; Mammalia; Rodentia; Muridae. The record is from RNAcentral.
UGCACUUGAUGGCUUUGCAUUCCCUACAUGA